GAUGAACGCUGGCGGCGUGCCUAAUACAUGCAAGUCGAGCGAACAGACGAGGAGCUUGCUCCUCUGACGUUAGCGGCGGACGGGUGAGUAACACGUGGAUAACCUACCUAUAAGACUGGGAUAACUUCGGGAAACCGGAGCUAAUACCGGAUAAUAUAUUGAACCGCAUGGUUCAAUAGUGAAAGACGGUUUUGCUGUAACUUAUAGAUGGAUCCGCGCCGCAUUAGCUAGUUGGUAAGGUAACGGCUUACCAAGGCAACGAUGCGUAGCCGACCUGAGAGGGUGAUCGGCCACACUGGAACUGAGACACGGUCCAGACUCCUACGGGAGGCAGCAGUAGGGAAUCUUCCGCAAUGGGCGAAAGCCUGACGGAGCAACGCCGCGUGAGUGAUGAAGGUCUUCGGAUCGUAAAGCUCUGUUAUUAGGGAAGAACAAAUGUGUAAGUAACUAUGCACGUCUUGACGGUACCUAAUCAGAAAGCCACGGCUAACUACGUG
This 497-nucleotide ribosomal RNA is filed under the name uncultured bacterium. RNAcentral describes it as "partial 16S ribosomal RNA". It matches the Rfam family "Bacterial small subunit ribosomal RNA", at positions 28 to 507 of the family's 1533-position model. The record is from RNAcentral.